Molecule: ribosomal RNA, 424 nt
Filed under: uncultured bacterium
Lineage: Bacteria
Description: partial 16S ribosomal RNA
Rfam family: Bacterial small subunit ribosomal RNA
Source: RNAcentral
GAAUAUUGGACAAUGGGCGAAAGCCUGAUCCAGCCAUGCCGCGUGUGUGAAGAAGGUCUUCGGAUUGUAAAGCACUUUAAGUUGGGAGGAAGGGCAGUAAGCGAAUACCUUGCUGUUUUGACGUUACCGACAGAAUAAGCACCGGCUAACUCUGUGCCAGCAGCCGCGGUAAUACAGAGGGUGCAAGCGUUAAUCGGAAUUACUGGGCGUAAAGCGCGCGUAGGUGGUUCGUUAAGUUGGAUGUGCAAUCCCCGGGCUCAACCUGGGAACUGCAUCCAAAACUGGCGAGCUAGAGUAGGGCAGAGGGUGGUGGAAUUUCCUGUGUAGCGGUGAAAUGCGUAGAUAUAGGAAGGAACACCAGUGGCGAAGGCAGCUACCUGGACCAACACUGACACUGAGGCACGAAAGCGUGGGGAGCAAACAG